CUAGCCUUAAACGAAACAUAGUAUAACGGUGCUCUCGAUCUCUCUUCUCUCUCCCUUUGCUCUCGAUCUCCGACAACGCCGUUCUUCCCUCUCGGCUUCUCCUCUCUCCACCGGUUACGAUUUCUCUAGCUCCGUGAUUGGAGCUUGUGUUGAAGUAUUCCAUUGACGUUGGUGUGGGGGGUGAUUGACGCCGAUCGGGUCUUGUGUUCAACUAGUCGACGAUAUCAGAUUUUGGAUUGACGAAAGUCAUGGUUGAAGAGCCUCCAAGACAUGAUCAUUCAUUAGUUGAGACUUGAGUGCUAAAACAAGAAAGAAACAAUUAGGCUUUGAUUUUUUUCAUUUUUAUUUUUCCCCCUCUUUCAGUGUCAUCUUCUCUCACUGAACUCUUAUAGCUUACUAUUGGUGUCUGAGCCAAAUUAUUUUCGGAUUGCUCAGAUUAAUAAAAUUGAUAAUGGCGGCACAUGUUUGGUUGGUCUAAAUUUCAGCUGCAAAGACAGUGUAGUUGCUAAUCUGAGAGGUUUAGGUCAGAACGACGAGACGACACCGUAUGGAAGCAAAUAUUAUUUAUUGCAGAGAAGCUGAAACUGAAUCCAUGAGAGAGAGAAAGAGAAAGAACGGGGAUGAGGAGAUCUGGCAGAGAAGAAGGAGGGGGCCCCACUCUGAGAACCUAAUCCAAAUUUUGAACCCAACACUCCUUAAUUAUAAUUAUGGGCAAGGAUGGUUCAUUUAUGAUUGUUGUGGUCCAAUUGAGCCCAAAUCAUCAUUUAAUAUUGGUGAUUAGUGAAGAGUUUAAAUGGAAGACUAGUAUUCUUUCAACUGAUGAUGAUGAUGGUGAUGCUUGAUUUCUCCAAAAGGGAACAGAAGCCUCCCAUUAUUAUGAUUAUCAUUAUUCUCUACUUGCCCACCAUUACUUCCAAGCCCAUCAACCAAAGAAAAUCCAAGACUGGGCUUAAUCUCUUGCAUGGGAAAUUCAAAAAUGAAGAAUUUGUCAUUUGAAUUUGGCAUCAAUGAAGAAUCCCUUUUUUCUGUGCCCUGCAUGGAGAAAAUCUAAAGGAUCAAAAUUAAACCAGAAAUCAAUAAGGAUUGGAUCAGGAGAGUGAGAUUCCAUCACCAAAAGAGUUAGGAAGUAGGUCUUCUGGAGCAAGCAACAAGGAAGCAUGACCAUGCUUAAUAUGUUAAGACGUAUAUUAAGAAUUAUAUGUUAAGACGUAUUAUUAAAAAAUGUUACUUUGAUACUUUAUUUUUGGAUUAUGACAUUUCAAUUAUGACUUGGAUUAUGACUUUUGGAUUAUGUAUGAAUUAAAAAUCAUCUUAUGAUAUUUGAUUUAUGAUUA
Arachis ipaensis is the source of this 1334-nucleotide non-coding RNA. The record is from RefSeq and is a predicted model, not a curated record. NCBI's taxonomy places the organism in Eukaryota, Viridiplantae, Streptophyta, Magnoliopsida, Fabales, Fabaceae.